UUCUGGUUGAUCCUGCCGGAGGCUACCGCUAUUGGAGUUCGAUUAAGCCAUGCGAGUCCAGAGCUUUCGGAGCUCGGCGUACCGCUCAGUAACACGUGGGUAACCUAACCUAUGCAGGGGAAUAACCUCGGGAAACUGAGUAUAAUGCCCCAUAGUCCACUACGCCUGGAACGGUGAGUGGAUCAAAGCUCAGGCGGCAUAGGAUGGGCCUGCGGCGUAUCAGGUUGUAGGGGGUGUAAAGUACCCUCUAGCCAUCUACGCGUACGGGUGUUGGGAGACAUAGCCCGGAGAUGGAUUCUGAGACACGAAUCCAGACCCUACGGGGUGCAGCAGGCGCGAAAACUUGACAAUGCGAGCAAUCGUGAUCAGGGAACUCCAAGUGGCUGGGGUAAGACCCAGUCUUUUCAUAACUCUUCAAAGGUUGUAGAAUAAGGGGUGGGUAAGGACGGUGCCAGCCGCCGCGGUAAUACCGGCGCCUCAAGUGGUAGUCGCUUUUAUUGGGCCUAAAACGUCCGUAGCCGGUUUGGUACAUUCGUGGGUAAAUCAACUCGCUCAACGAGUUGAAUUCUGCGAGGACGGCCAAACUUGGGACCGGGAGAGGUGUGGGGUACUCUCAGGGUAGGGGUAAAAUCCUGUCAUCCUGAGAGGACCACCUGUUGCGAAGGCGCCACACUAGAACGGAUCCGACGGUCAGGGACGAAGCCUAGGGGCACGAACCGGAUUAGAUACCCGGGUAGUCCUAGGUGUAAACGCUGUGGACUUGAU
Molecule: ribosomal RNA, 765 nt
Filed under: uncultured Candidatus Poseidoniales archaeon
Lineage: Archaea; Methanobacteriati; Thermoplasmatota; Candidatus Poseidoniia; Candidatus Poseidoniales
Description: bacterial SSU rRNA
Rfam family: Archaeal small subunit ribosomal RNA
Source: RNAcentral